CUUGGUCAUUUAGAGGAAGUAAAAGUCGUAACAGGGUCUCCGUUUGGUGAACCAGCGGAGGGAUCAUUACAGAAGGUUGCAAAACUCCCUAAACCAUUGUGGACGCUACCUUUUAACGUUGCUUCGGCGGGCGGCCCGCUCCCCUGGAAAGCCCCUGUGGCCGCCCGGGGCUGCGAGCCCCCCGGCCCCCCUCGCGGGGGCGCCCGCCGGAGGAUACCCAACUCUUGAUUAUUUUAGGCCUCUCUGAGUCUUCUGUACUGAAUAAGUCAAAACUUUCAACAACGGAUCUCUUGGUUCUGGCAUGGAUGAAGAACGCAGCGAAAUGCGAUAAGUAAUGUGAAUUGCAGAAUUCAGUGAAUCAUCGAAUCUUUGAACGCACAUUGCGCCCGCCAGUAUUCUGGCGGGCAUGCCUGUUCGAGCGUCAUUUCAACCAUCAAGCCCCAGGCUUGUGUUGGGGACCUGCGGCUGCCGCAGGCCCUGAAAUCCAGUGGCGGGUUCGCUGUCACCCCGAGCGUAGUAGCAAUAUCUCGCUCAGGGCGUGCUGCGGGCACCGGCCGUUAAAAGCUGCCUUCUGGCAACACCCAAGGUUGACCUCGGAUCAGGUAGGAAGACCCGCUGAACUUAAGCAUAUCAAUAAGCCGGAGGAAAAUCGAUUCCCGC
Molecule: ribosomal RNA, 660 nt
Filed under: uncultured Chaetomium
Lineage: Eukaryota; Fungi; Ascomycota; Sordariomycetes; Sordariales; Chaetomiaceae
Description: eukaryotic LSU rRNA
Rfam family: 5.8S ribosomal RNA (bases 271-424)
Source: RNAcentral